GAUUCUGGCUCAGGAUUAACGCUGGCGGCGUGCCUAAUACAUGCAAGUCGAAUGGUAGCAAUACCAUGGCGAACGGGUGAGUAACACGUAGGUAACCUGUCUUUAAGCCGAGGAUAACCAUUGGAAACGAUGGAUAAUACUGGAUAGGACAUUUGAAGGCAUCUUUAGAUGUUUAAAGAUUUAUCACUUAGAGAGGGGCCUGCGGCGCAUUAGCUAGUUGGUGAGGUGAAGGCUUACCAAGGCGAUGAUGCGUAGCCGGACUGAGAGGUUGAACGGCCACAAUGGAACUGAGAACGGUCCAUACUCCUACGGGAGGCAGCAGUAGGGAAUUUUCGGCAAUGGGCGGAAGCCUGACCGAGCAACGCCGCGUGAACGAAGAAGUAUUUCGGUAUGUAAAGUUCUUUUAUUAGGGACGAAAAGACAGAUUGACGGUACCUAAUGAAUAAGCUCCGGCUAACUACGUGCCAGCCGCAGC
Molecule: ribosomal RNA, 475 nt
Filed under: uncultured bacterium
Lineage: Bacteria
Description: bacterial SSU rRNA
Rfam family: Bacterial small subunit ribosomal RNA
Source: RNAcentral